This 77-nucleotide ribosomal RNA is filed under the name Listeria welshimeri. The record is from RNAcentral. Lineage: Bacteria; Bacillati; Bacillota; Bacilli; Caryophanales; Listeriaceae.
CCGAACACGGUAGUUAAGCUUCUCUGCGCCAAUGGUAGUUGGGGGUUUCCCCCUGCGAGAGUAGGUCGCUGCCGGGC